RNA transcript from Tachysurus fulvidraco (yellow catfish), 3232 nucleotides. It is a transcript of the gene named GTP dependent ribosome recycling factor mitochondrial 2, with no coding region annotated. NCBI's taxonomy places the organism in Eukaryota, Metazoa, Chordata, Actinopteri, Siluriformes, Bagridae. The record is from RefSeq and is a predicted model, not a curated record. The transcript has 20 exons.
UAUCACGCUUAGCCUUGUUUCCCGCGGACUCAUUUAGGUGACGCACCAUCCCAUGUGCAAUAGAGCAAACAGCAUGUCACGACUUAGUUAAGGUAUAAAGACACACGGAAGAAAAACAGUAGCUACGAUUCAUUGCUGUAGUCUUUACGAUCUAGGGGACACAGUGAAACGGAUGUGAUGUUGUAAUCACAGGUUAUAUUGAUGUCAGAUUGAACAAUGCUGCUUGCAGUGAGGUUCAGCUUCCUUCAUGGGCGUGUGAGACACUGUUUAUCAUCUCAAGCACUGGGUACACAAUGGAAAAGGAGCUACAGUUUCCCUCAAGACGAUGUUAAGUCGCCUCGAGCAGUGGUCAACCCGGACAUCUCAAAAAUCCGUAACAUCGGCAUCAUGGCCCACAUCGAUGCCGGGAAAACCACCACCACGGAGAGGAUGCUCUAUUAUUCUGGGUACACACGUGCUCUUGGCGAUGUGGAUGAUGGAGACACUGUGACUGAUUAUAUGGCCCAGGAGAGAGAGCGUGGAAUUACAAUCCAAUCAGCUGCAGUCACCUUCGACUGGAAAGAGCACAGAAUUAACCUCAUUGACACGCCAGGCCAUGUAGACUUUACUCUGGAAGUUGAGAGAGCUCUGCGUGUGCUGGACGGAGCAGUGGCUGUGUUUGAUGCCUCAGCCGGAGUGGAGGCGCAAACCAUGACCGUGUGGCGACAGGCAGAGAAACACAACAUCCCCUGUGUGUGCUUCCUAAAUAAGAUGGAUAAACCUGGAGCCAGCAUGAGUUACUCUGUAGAAAGCAUCAAGAUGAAACUGAGGGCCAACCCCAUAGUCCUUCAACUUCCCGUCGGCUCUGGAAAGGGAUUUAUCGGAUUGGUGGAUUUGAUCACCAGGCAGCAAAUGACGUGGCGGGGAACGUCGUUGGCCGAUAACGGGCGGGCUUUUGAGACGAGAUCACUCCAGCCCACAGACGACCCACAAUUCCUAGAGGAAGUCAAUCAAGCCAGAGCAACUCUUAUAGAACAGGUUGCAGAUUUGGAUGACGAAUUUGCUGAGCUGCUCCUUGGAGAAUAUGGUGACAACUUUGACUCGGUGCCUGCUGGGAAAUUGCAGGAGGCGCUGAGGCGAGUGACGACGUCUCGUAAAGGAGUGCCGGUGCUGUGUGGAAGUUCACUGAAGAAUAAAGGAGUUCAGCCUCUACUAGACGCCAUCACAGCAUACCUCCCUGCUCCUGACGAAAGGAACCACGACCUGGUACGCUGGUACAAGGAUGACUUAUGUGCUCUGGCGUUUAAAGUGGUCCAUGACAAGCAGAGAGGUCCUCUGGUUUUCUUGAGAAUCUACUCCGGCUCUAUGAAACCGCAGACAGCAGUGUACAAUAUCAACCGUAACGGAACAGAGAGAAUGAGUCGUCUCCUGCUGCCGUUUGCAGAUCAGCACAUCGAAAUCCCCUCUGUGUCUGCAGGGAACAUCGCCCUCGCUGUGGGACUCAAACAGACGGUGACGGGUGACACCAUCGUCUCGUCUAAAGCCUCAGCAUCGGCCGCGGUGCGCCGGGCGCACAACAAGGCAGAGGGGAAGAGAACGUCUAGCCGAGAGCCGCAGAACAGUCUGCUACUUGCUGGGGUUGAGGUGCCUGAACCCGUCUUCUUCUGCUCUAUAGAGCCUCCUUCCAUGGCCAAGCAAGCAGAUCUUGAGCAUGCUCUGAACUGCCUCCAGAGGGAAGACCCCAGUCUGAAAGUCAGGACAGACCCAGACUCUGGACAGACAGUUCUGUGUGGUAUGGGAGAGCUUCACAUCGAGAUUCUGCACGAUCGCAUUCGGAGGGAAUACAAACUCGAAACGCACUUGGGGCCUCUACAGGUUGCCUACAGAGAGACCAUUAACCAAUCAGUAACCACGACAGACACUCUGGAUCGCACGCUGGGUGAAAAGAGGCACAUUGCGAGCGUAGAGCUGACCGUGAGUCCCUGGGAAGCGUGCGCUCCAGGCACGUCGUCAUGUCACAUGACUUAUGAUGAGGAAGUAGAAGCACAAAUCUCUGCUGACAUUAAAGCGGCGGUGGACAGUGGCGUUCAGAGUGCCUAUCUCCAGGGUCCCGUACUGGGUUACCCUGUGCAGGGGGUUCUCACCGAGAUCCACAGUGUGUGUGUGGAACCAGGUACCUCUCUGGCCAUGGUGUCAGCCUGUGUGUCUCGCUGCAUGCUUAAGGACCUCUCAAGCUCCAUCAGAUUGAUUGCAGAGCGUCUGCAAAGCCAUUUUCAGAUCUCUCCAGAGAUGUCCAGUAGGGUUCAUGUCUGGGCUCUAGCUCAGAGUUGUCCCGUAGCCACUCCUUUAUUAUCUUGGCUGUAUGCUUAGGGUUAUUGUUUUGUUGGAAGAUGAACCUUUGCCUCAAUCUGAGGUCCAGAGCUCUCUGGAGCAGGUUUUCAUCAAGGACGUCUUUGUAUAUUCAUUCUUCCCUCGAUCCUGAUUAGUCUCCCAGUUUCUGCUGCUGAAAAACAUCCCCACAGCUUGAUGCUGCCACCACUAUGCUUCACUGUAGGGAUGGAAUUGGCCCUGUGAUGAGCGGUGCCUGCUUUCUUCCAGACGUGACACUUGCUAUUCAGGCCAAAGAGUUCAAAGUAUUUUGUUUGAGUCCUUCAGGCGCCCUUUGGCAAACUCCAGGCAGCCCAUCAUAUCCCUUUUACUGAGGAGUGUCUUCCGUCUGGCCACUCUACUAUACAGGCCUGAGUGGUGGAGUGCUGCACUGAUGGUUGUUUUCAUAGAAAAAUGAUGGAGCUCUGUCAGAGUGAAGUUUGGGUUCUUGAUCAUCUCCCUGACUAAGGCCCUUCUUCCCUGAUCACUCAGUUUGGCUGGGCGAAUUCUGGUGGUUCCAAACUUUAACCAUUUAAGGAUGAUAGAUGUCACUGUCCUCAUUGGGACCUUCAAUGCUGCAAUAAAAAUUUCUGUACCCUUCCCCAGAUCUGUGCCUCAAUACAAUCCUGUCUCUGAGGUCUACAGACAAUUCCUUGGACUUCAUGGCUUGGUUUGUGCUCAAACACGUGCAUUGUGCACUGUGGGAACUUAUAGACAGGUGUGUGCCUUUCCACAUCAUGUCCAAUCAACUAAAUGUACUGCAGCUGGACUCCAAUCAAGUUGUAGAAACAUCUCAAGGAUGAUUAGUGGACACAGGAUGCAGCUGCGCUCAAUUUUGUGUGUCAUGGUAAAGGGGCUGAAACAGGCUGACGGGCAAGUCUUAGAG